GUUGGACACUUAACCAACUGAGCCACCCAGGCACCCCAAAAAUAAAUAUUUAAAAAACAAAAAUAUAAAAUAAAAGGUAGACUCAAUUUCACUAGGUCUAAGGUGGAAUCUGAGAUUCUACAUUUCUGACAAGCUCCCAGAUGAUGCUAAUGCUGGUCAGUGGACCUUGCUUUGAGCUGCAAGGGUCUAAAACAUCACUGUCCAACAAAACUUUCCGCAAGGAUGAAAAUGUUCUAAAUCUACACUGUUCAAUACACACGUGACUACUGAGCACCUGAAUCUCAGCUAGUACAGUGGAGAAACUGAAUUUUUAAUCUUAGGCUACCAUAUUAAUACAGAUCUAGAAUGCAUAUGCUCCAUGAAGGCACCAAUUCCUAGAAAUGUGGAGCAUAAGAAAAGAAUUAAGGAUCCCUGCAAACUCUUGGCCUGCACAGCCUCUGUGGAUGGGACACUGUGAAAACUCUAUCAGAGGCCUAGAUGGCACCAGCUCAGGAGUGGAUCAGUACUUACCUAGGGCAGGAAGGCAGCCACAGAAGGCCAUUCUGAGACACUUUAGUGACUAAAGCAUGCGGUAACCCACAGAUGACCACCUUGACCUCAUGACUCAACCGCACUCCUAACCACAACCCCAGGCACACUUGACCAAUGCCAUCCCUGGGCAUCCAUGAUCCUGGACAAUCUUAAAGCCCCAGCUCUCACAGUGACUUGGUUUAUUGCACUGAUUUGUUGUAGGAUGUCUGCCUCUCCCGCUAAGCUGUAGGUUCUUUCAAAGAGGGAACUUACUUCACUUGGUAUUCUAUUCCCAUCACCUAGCACACAGCAGGACUCAAUAAAUACUGCAUGAAUGUCAGAGCCUGGACCCUACUGGGAGAAUCAUUAGUAUUUUUACUGUUAAUCACAAGAAACAGGGGAAACAAUUGGGAGGAGGAGGGAGGAUUACAUAACAAGAGAAGAUCGGUUCCUCCUUAAGUGACUCAAAAAUUUCCAAACACGUUUUAAGUCCAGAUUUCAGAACACAGCAUAAAUAAGGUGGCCCUGUUUGACCACAAAACCUCAUUUCCAAAAACACAAACACACGGGCAAGAAAAGAUUAUGUCCUUCCGACAACAGAUGCAAAAUCUACUAGUCUGGGAUCUGGAAGAGCGCUCUUCACAAAGGGCUGAGGUUCAGAAUCACAUUCUUGCCUAAAAAGCACAUGGGCCAGGUUCCCACUAGAACUGCUGGGAGGGGCAUCUAGCCCCAAGGACAGCAAGGCCCCUGGGAAUCUGUGCAGCCCACAGGCUCAUUUUACCCCUGCAGUUAGAACCCUGUGCUUGUGACAGCAAUGAGAUUUCCAAGGUAACCAAGGACAACAGAGUAGAGAAUUAUGGCCCCGGAAGGAAGCAGAUUAAAUUGUAAUACUUACGAGUCAACAUCAAAUUUAUUUUUAAAACUACAUAUCUAACAAAAGCCAAAUAGGCAAGGCAGCAUGGAUGGUGUUUUACAGGAGGACUGAACUAUCAACAUGAAUAUUCCAAAUUCCAUCCAGUUGCAGCAGCAGACUUUACUAAAAAUGUGCACAAUAAUUACUUCACCCAGAGAAAGUGAUCACCAGGCGAAACAACACACUGGUUAAAAAAAAACCAAAAAA
This is a long non-coding RNA of Herpailurus yagouaroundi (jaguarundi), 1630 nucleotides long. RefSeq lists it as uncharacterized. The record is from RefSeq and is a predicted model, not a curated record. The transcript has 2 exons. NCBI's taxonomy places the organism in Eukaryota, Metazoa, Chordata, Mammalia, Carnivora, Felidae.